AGCGAACGCUGGCGGCAGGCCUAACACAUGCAAGUCGAACGAACCUUUCGGGGUUAGUGGCGGACGGGUGAGUAACACGUGGGAACGUGCCUUUAGGUUCGGAAUAACUCAGGGAAACUUGUGCUAAUACCGAAUGUGCCCUUCGGGGGAAAGAUUAAUCGCCUUUAGAGCGGCCCGCGUCUGAUUAGCUAGUUGGUUGAGGUAAUGGCUCACCAAGGCGACGAUCAGUAGCUGGUCUGAGAGGAUGAUCAGCCACAUUGGGACUGAGACACGGCCCAGACUCCUACGGGAGGCAGCAGUGGGGAAUCUUGCGCAAUGGGCGAAAGCCUGAUGCAGCCAUGCCGCGUGAAUGAUGAAGGUCUUAGGAUUGUAAAAUUCUUUUACCGGGGACGAUAAUGACGGUACCCGGAGAAGAAGCCCCGGCUAACUUCGUG
This 434-nucleotide ribosomal RNA is filed under the name uncultured bacterium. RNAcentral's name for it is "partial 16S ribosomal RNA". It matches the Rfam family "Bacterial small subunit ribosomal RNA", at positions 29 to 507 of the family's 1533-position model. The record is from RNAcentral.